GGUUGUGUAGUGUAGCGGUUAGCAGUAGGUUCUUGUUCGCGUCCGGACUGUGUCUUCGACAAUACUAACGGGAGUUGCAGCACGGGAUUCUGAUACUCUGAAAUUUCCCGUGACCCCGGUUCGAAUCCGGGCACGACCU
This is a non-coding RNA of Phialophora macrospora, 139 nucleotides long. The record is from the annotation of a GenBank genome assembly. Lineage: Eukaryota; Fungi; Ascomycota; Eurotiomycetes; Chaetothyriales; Herpotrichiellaceae.